GACGAACGCUGGCGGCGUGCCUAAUACAUGCAAGUCGAACGCACAGUUUAUACCGUAGCUUGCUACACCAUAGACUGUGAGUUGCGAACGGGUGAGUAACGCGUAGGUAACCUGCCUGGUAGCGGGGGAUAACUAUUGGAAACGAUAGCUAAUACCGCAUAAUAUUGAUUAUUGCAUGAUAAUUAAUUGAAAGGUGCAAUUGCACCACUACCAGAUGGACCUGCGUUGUAUUAGCUAGGAGGUGAGGUAACGGCUCAACUAGGCGACGAUACAUAGCCGACCUGGGAGGGAGGUCCGCCACACUGGGACUGAGACACGGCCCAGACUCCUUCGGGAGGCAGCCGGAGGGGAUCUUCGGCAAAGGACGGAAGUCUGACCGAGCAACGCCGCGGGAGUGAAGAAGGGUUUCGGAUCGUAAAGGUCUGUUGUAAGAGAAGAAAGGGUGUGAGAGUGGAAAGUUCACACUGUGACGGUAUCUAACCAGAAAGGGACGGCUAACUACGGG
RNAcentral lists this ribosomal RNA (505 nucleotides) under uncultured bacterium. Its description in RNAcentral is "partial 16S ribosomal RNA". It matches the Rfam family "Bacterial small subunit ribosomal RNA", at positions 28 to 507 of the family's 1533-position model. The record is from RNAcentral.